Molecule: ribosomal RNA, 464 nt
Filed under: Diaphorobacter nitroreducens
Lineage: Bacteria; Pseudomonadati; Pseudomonadota; Betaproteobacteria; Burkholderiales; Comamonadaceae
Description: bacterial SSU rRNA
Rfam family: Bacterial small subunit ribosomal RNA
Source: RNAcentral
AUUGAACGCUGGCGGCAUGCCUUACACAUGCAAGUCGAACGGUAACAGGUCUUCGGAUGCUGACGAGUGGCGAACGGGUGAGUAAUACAUCGGAACGUGCCCGAUCGUGGGGGAUAACGAGGCGAAAGCUUUGCUAAUACCGCAUACGAUCUACGGAUGAAAGCGGGGGAUCUUCGGACCUCGCGCGGACGGAGCGGCCGAUGGCAGAUUAGGUAGUUGGUGGGAUAAAAGCUCACCAAGCCGACGAUCUGUAACUGGUCUGAGAGGAUGAUCAGCCACACUGGGACUGAGACACGGCCCAGACUCCUACGGGAGGCAGCAGUGGGGAAUUUUGGACAAUGGGCGAAAGCCUGAUCCAGCCAUGCCGCGUGCAGGAUGAAGGCCUUCGGGUUGUAAACUGCUUUUGUACGGAACGAAAAGCCUCUUUCUAAUAAAGAGGGGUCAUGACGGUACCGUAAGAAUAG